CUUACGGGUGCCUAACAAACCGUUACACUUGCUCGUAGAUGUACACUCUAGAAGACUUCAACUUGCUCGAGGAUACCUCACCUCAAGACUUCAAGUCAAGGAACUAAACUUUCCUUUUUACAACAAGGGAUUAGAACUUCCCUUCAAGUGUAUGCAAACACUUACCACUCAAGACAAGACUCUCUUAUAGAGUAGAUGUGAGUAAAAUUAAUACGCUCAAGAACACAACAACUUCGUCAAGAAUUUGGCUCUCAAAAAC
RNAcentral lists this long non-coding RNA (259 nucleotides) under Nicotiana benthamiana. Its description in RNAcentral is "long non-coding RNA (NBEN_LNC013337)". Lineage: Eukaryota; Viridiplantae; Streptophyta; Magnoliopsida; Solanales; Solanaceae. The record is from RNAcentral.